RNAcentral lists this unclassified non-coding RNA (248 nucleotides) under Hevea brasiliensis (rubber tree). Lineage: Eukaryota; Viridiplantae; Streptophyta; Magnoliopsida; Malpighiales; Euphorbiaceae. The record is from RNAcentral.
AUUUAACCUUUAAUGUCUAUCUCAAGAUUGCUGUUGGUAUUAGCAUUGUGUAAAUUUUACUGCUUGUGUGCACGUGAUCUAAAUUGGAAUGAGAAAUCUCAUAGCCAAUUUAGCUGAUUCCAUGUUUCAAAUGGAGCUGUAAUAUGUACUACCAGUGCUGGUGUAUGUUGGUGUAUACUGACCAGCAUCCGUUUCCAUUUUUUCAACCAUUUAUUAAUUUUGUGUAUAUUUUCAUUUAGCCUCUUAAA